CAGUAGCCGCGGUAAUACGAAGGGUGCAAGCGUUAAUCGGAAUUACUGGGCGUAAAGCGUGCGUAGGCGGUUUGUUAAGUCUGUUGUGAAAUCCCCGGGCUCAACCUGGGAAUGGCAAUGGAUACUGGCAAGCUAGAGUGUGUCAGAGGAUGGUGGAAUUCCCGGUGUAGCGGUGAAAUGCGUAGAGAUCGGGAGGAACAUCAGUGGCGAAGGCGGCCAUCUGGGACAACACUGACGCUGAGGCACGAAAGCGUGGGGAGCGAACAGGAUUAGAUACCCCAGUAGUCCCUGUCUCUUAUAA
This 301-nucleotide ribosomal RNA is filed under the name uncultured bacterium. Its description in RNAcentral is "partial 16S ribosomal RNA". It matches the Rfam family "Bacterial small subunit ribosomal RNA", at positions 509 to 809 of the family's 1533-position model. The record is from RNAcentral.